RNAcentral lists this non-coding RNA (21 nucleotides) under Caenorhabditis elegans. The record is from RNAcentral. Lineage: Eukaryota; Metazoa; Nematoda; Chromadorea; Rhabditida; Rhabditidae.
UUCGAUUGUUUGUAUAAUUCC